GAUGAAGAACGCAGCGAAAUGCGAUAAGUAAUGUGAAUUACAGAAUUCAGUGAAUCAUCGAAUCUUUGAACGCACAUUGCGCCCCUUGGUAUUCCGAGGGGCAUGCCUGUUCGAGCGUCAUUAUAACCCCUCAAGCUCAGCUUGGUGUUGGGGCCUGCUGCACUGGCAGCCCUUAAAAUCAGUGGCGGCGCCAUCUGGCUCUAAGCGUAGUAAUUCUUCUCGCUAUGGAGUCCUGGUGGAUGCUUGCCAUCAACCCCCAAUUUUUCUAUGGUUGACCUCGGAUCAGGUAGGGAUACCCGCUGAACUUAAGCAUAUCAAUAAGCGGAGGA
This 329-nucleotide unclassified non-coding RNA is filed under the name soil metagenome. Its description in RNAcentral is "partial contains 5.8S ribosomal RNA, internal transcribed spacer 2, and large subunit ribosomal RNA". The stretch from base 1 to 120 matches the Rfam family "5.8S ribosomal RNA", at positions 35 to 154 of the family's 154-position model. The record is from RNAcentral.